RNAcentral lists this ribosomal RNA (412 nucleotides) under uncultured microorganism. RNAcentral's name for it is "bacterial SSU rRNA". It matches the Rfam family "Archaeal small subunit ribosomal RNA", at positions 330 to 745 of the family's 1478-position model. The record is from RNAcentral.
GUGCACCAGGCGCGAAACCUUCGCAAUGCGGAAGCCGCGACGAGGGGACUCCCAGUGCCUACGCUCAGCGUAGGCUGUUCCCGAGCCUAGAAAGCUCGGGGAGUAAGGGCUGGGUAAGACGGGUGCCAGCCGCCGCGGUAAUACCCGCAGCCCGAGUGGUGGCCACUAUUAUUGGGCCUAAAGCGUCCGUAGCCGGCCCGGUAAAUGCCUGGGUAAAUCGUGAGGCCUAACCUCACGAAUUCCGGGUAGACUGCCGGGCUAGGGACCGGAGGAGGGAGAGGGUACUCCAGGGGUAGGGGUGAAAUCCUGUAAUCCCUGGAGGACCACCAGUGGCGAAGGCGCUCUCCUAGGACGGGUCCGACGGUGAGGGACGAAAGCCAGGGGAGCGAACCGGAUUAGAUACCCGUGUAGU